This is an RNA transcript of Coffea arabica (coffee), 1891 nucleotides long. It is a transcript of the gene named acetyl-CoA acetyltransferase 2, with no coding region annotated. NCBI's taxonomy places the organism in Eukaryota, Viridiplantae, Streptophyta, Magnoliopsida, Gentianales, Rubiaceae. The record is from RefSeq and is a predicted model, not a curated record.
ACUCCCGUUGCUACCUGGGUUGACAUUUACAAUUCUUGUGUGAACUCGUACGUUAUACCAAACAUUUCAGACUCACUAUUUUACUUACCUGAGCCGCUCUUCCCCUGCCCCCCACCCACACCGGUCUCCCUCGUCUCUCUCCUCUCCAUUGAUCUAUAAAUAGUUCAAAAGCUCAACUACCACACUUCAACCUCCAUACACUGCUUCCUCUUCCAACAUUUUCUCUUUUACUCCGCCCAAAUUCACAGGUUGUAUUUGGUUGCAAUAUAAGCUUGUAGCAUGGCCCCGGCAGCAUCAGAUAACUCAAUAAAGCCUACUGAUGUAUGCAUCGUUGGCGUAGCCCGUACCCCAAUGGGUGGUUUUCUUGGCUCACUUUCAUCAAUACCAGCAACAAAGCUUGGAUCUAUAGCUAUUGAGCGUGCUCUUAAAGGAGCUAAUGUUGAUCCUUCACUUGUACAAGAAGUUUACUUCGGAAAUGUGCUCAGUGCAAAUUUGGGUCAGGCUCCUGCCAGGCAAGCAGCAUUGGGUGCAGGAAUACCCAAUACAGUGAUUUGUACGACGAUUAACAAAGUUUGUGCCUCUGGAAUGAAAGCAACUAUGCUUGCUGCACAGAGUAUUCAGUUGGGUAUUAAUGACGUUGUUGUAGCUGGUGGCAUGGAAAGCAUGUCCAAUGUCCCCAAGUACCUGGGAGAAGCAAGGAAGGGGUCUCGACUUGGACAUGACACGCUUGUUGAUGGAAUGAUGAAAGAUGGACUGUGGGAUGUAUACAAUGAUUAUGGCAUGGGAGUUUGUGCUGAAUUAUGUGCUGAAAAUCAUAGCAUAACUAGAGAGGAGCAGGAUGAUUACGCAGUUCAAAGCUUUGAGCGUGGCAUUGCUGCCCAAACUAGUGGUGCCUUCUCAUGGGAGAUUGCGCCAGUCGAAGUGUCUGGUGGAAGAGGAAGGCCUUCAACUGUUGUUGAUAAAGAUGAAGGUCUAGGAAAGUUUGAUGCUGCAAAGUUGAGGAAGCUCCGUCCAAGUUUCAAGGAAACUGGUGGUAGUGUUACAGCUGGCAAUGCUUCCAGCAUAAGUGAUGGUGCAGCUGCUUUAGUCUUAGUCAGUGGAAAGAAGGCCGUUGAGCUUGGGCUACAAGUGAUUGCAAAAAUCACAGGAUAUGCUGAUGCAGCUCAGGCACCAGAUUUAUUUACAACUGCACCUGCACUUGCAAUCCCAAAAGCUAUUUCAAAUGCUGGCUUAGAUGCUUCUAAGAUUGAUUACUAUGAGAUUAAUGAAGCCUUUGCGGUUGUGGCUCUUGCAAAUCAAAAGCUUCUUGGGCUUAAUCCUGAAAAAGUCAAUGUACAUGGUGGAGCCGUAUCAUUGGGGCAUCCUCUAGGAUGCAGUGGAGCUCGUAUCUUGGUCACACUCUUGGGGGUUCUGAAGCAGAAAAAUGGUAAAUAUGGAGUUGGAGGUGUUUGCAAUGGGGGAGGAGGUGCUUCAGCCCUCGUUUUAGAGCUUGUCUAAUCUGCUGCAUGAUUGCCAAGUCAGGAGAAUUGUGAUCAGUGAGAAUAUGUGGUCACUGGCACAAGGAAGGACGUUACUGGCAAGCAGAGUCUCAUCACAAUCACUUGAUUUUCUUCUUGUUACAAAUUUUUUAUGUUCUCGACAAAUAAUAGAAUUAAUAUGAAUGUAGCGAGGAAUGUAUCUUGUGUCUUCAUUGCCUUCUCCUUGAUUGUUAAACCGUUUCCGUAGUGUUAACCGAUCUAGAUGAGAUGUUUUCUUAUCUGAGGUGAAUUAAAGGCAAGAAGAAAUAGCUAAUCUUUGGCAUGUAUUAGAUAUCAGCCUUAUUCACCAUUUUCAUCCCUGAACUUUUAUAUUAAAAUCAAUUUCAUCCUUUAUGAUUUAUUUUUUUGACCAA